AACGCACAUUGCGCUCUCUGGUAUUCCGGGGAGCAUGCCUGUUUGAGUAUCAGUUAACUAUUCUCAAGCUACACCUUUUUUUAUAAAAAAGGGGGGUGCAGCAUGGAAUUGAGUGAUCCCGGUACGAGUGCUUCGGUACUGCAACUGGGAGACUUGAAACUGAUAUCGCGGGAGCAGUGGUCAUUAAGGAUCAGCUCUUUGUAGGUGUACUAGUUGGAGGCGUCGCAAGACGUUUUCAUUCUUAACACCACCAUUUGCGCAAAGUUCAGAUCUGACGACUGCGACCAACGAACGCAGGAACGCGAGUCCCUAGGACUUCAACUUCUUGAUCUCAAAUCAGGUAGGAUUACCCGCUGAACUUAA
This 363-nucleotide unclassified non-coding RNA is filed under the name uncultured Basidiobolales. RNAcentral's name for it is "sequence contains 5.8S rRNA gene, ITS2, 28S rRNA gene". The record is from RNAcentral. Lineage: Eukaryota; Fungi; Basidiobolomycota; Basidiobolomycetes.